UGUUAAAAAUUUUAUUCAUUUCUACCGUUAAAAACCAGCAUGACUGACAGAAUAAUCAAAUAUUUACACGUUGCGUGUCACGUGUACCUCUUUUUGAUAUAUAAGGAUCAAUUCUUUUUUGAUAGAAACAAGGACCGAUUCUUAACCGUAGAAGUAGGGAAUUUUUAACA
This is a non-coding RNA of Gossypium hirsutum (cotton), 170 nucleotides long. The record is from Rfam. Lineage: Eukaryota; Viridiplantae; Streptophyta; Magnoliopsida; Malvales; Malvaceae.